RNAcentral lists this ribosomal RNA (460 nucleotides) under uncultured bacterium. RNAcentral describes it as "partial 16S ribosomal RNA". It matches the Rfam family "Bacterial small subunit ribosomal RNA", at positions 338 to 795 of the family's 1533-position model. The record is from RNAcentral.
CCUACGGGGUGCAGCAGUGAGGAAUAUUGGUCAAUGGACGAGAGUCUGAACCAGCCAAGUAGCGUGAAGGAUGACUGCCCUAUGGGUUGUAAACUUCUUUUAUAUGGGAAUAAAACGUUCCACGUGUGGGAUUUUGUAUGUACCAUAUGAAUAAGGAUCGGCUAACUCCGUGCCAGCAGCCGCGGUAAUACGGAGGAUCCGAGCGUUAUCCGGAUUUAUUGGGUUUAAAGGGAGCGUAGGUGGAUUGUUAAGUCAGUUGUGAAAGUUUGCGGCUCAACCGUAAAAUUGCAGUUGAAACUGGCAGUCUUGAGUACAGUAGAGGUGGGCGGAAUUCGUGGUGUAGCGGUGAAAUGCUUAGAUAUCACGAAGAACUCCGAUUGCGAAGGCAGUUCACUGGACUGCAACUGACAUUGAUGCUCGAAAGUGUGGGUAUCAAACAGGAUUAGAUACCCGGGUAGUC